Molecule: small RNA, 220 nt
Filed under: Drosophila yakuba
Lineage: Eukaryota; Metazoa; Arthropoda; Insecta; Diptera; Drosophilidae
Description: GE28563
Source: RNAcentral
UGUACGUAAAAAAGAAACUCAAGUCAUUUAUCUUGACAGGAAUUCUUGCCGUUUGGGCUGCUCACUUGAUAGUUAGAAAACGAGGAAGCCAAAAAAACUCCUGCGCCGCUACUUUCAUCAAUCUUUCAAUAAUGCUUGAGGGGCUCCAAAGUGCUCCAAGAGGCGAAGGAGGAGCAGGUGGAGCAGUUGCACGUAGCCAAUAAAAUACUCGUGAAAUGUG